GACGAACGCUGGCGGCGGGCUUAACACAUGCAAGUCGAACGGGAAGGCCCUGCUUUGCGGGGGUGCGCGAGGGGCGAACGGGGGAGUUACACGUGUGUAACCUGCCCUUGCGGUUGGGAGAACUUCAUAAAACUGGGGCUAAUACGGGGUAGGAUCUCCCGCUGCAGGGUGGGGGUGGGAAGGUUUCGGCGGUUGGGGGUGGACUCGCGGCUUAUCCGCUUGUUGGUGGGGUGGUGGAUUAGCAAGGCUUGGACGGGUAGCCGGCCUGAGAGGGUCACCGGCCCCAUUGGGACUGAGCUGCGGCACAGCCUCGUACGGGAGGCAGCAGUGGAGUAUAUUGCACAAUGGGCGGAAGCCUGCUGUAGCCACGCCGCGUGCGGGAUGACGGCCUUCGGGUUGUGAACCGCAUUCGCCUGUGACGAGGCGUGAGUGACGGUAAUGGGAGAAGAAGCACCGGCUAACUACGUG
This 468-nucleotide ribosomal RNA is filed under the name uncultured bacterium. RNAcentral describes it as "partial 16S ribosomal RNA". It matches the Rfam family "Bacterial small subunit ribosomal RNA", at positions 28 to 507 of the family's 1533-position model. The record is from RNAcentral.